AGUGAACGCUGGCGGUAGGCCUAACACAUGCAAGUCGAACGGCAGCACAGUAAGAGCUUGCUCUUACGGGUGGCGAGUGGCGGACGGGUGAGGAAUACAUCGGAAUCUACUUUUUCGUGGGGGAUAACGUAGGGAAACUUACGCUAAUACCGCAUACGACCUACGGGUGAAAGCAGGGGAUCUUCGGACCUUGCGCGAAUGAAUGAGCCGCUGUCGGAUUGGCUAGUUGGCGGGGUAAAGGCCCACCAAGGCGACGAUUCGUAGCUGGUGUGAGAGAAGGGUCGGCGACAUGGGAAGUGAGACACGCGCCAGACUACUACGGGAGGGACCAGUGUGGAAUAUUGGACAAUGGGGGCAAGCAUUACCCAACCAUACCGCGUCGGUGAAGAAGGCCCUCGGGUUGGAAAGCCCGUUUGUUGGGAAAGAAAAGCAGCAGGUUAAUACCCCGCUGUUCUGACGGUACCCAAAGAAUAAGCACCGGCUAACUUCGUG
RNAcentral lists this ribosomal RNA (492 nucleotides) under uncultured bacterium. Its description in RNAcentral is "partial 16S ribosomal RNA". It matches the Rfam family "Bacterial small subunit ribosomal RNA", at positions 29 to 507 of the family's 1533-position model. The record is from RNAcentral.